This 480-nucleotide long non-coding RNA is filed under the name Ananas comosus (pineapple). RNAcentral describes it as "long non-coding RNA (ACOM_LNC028916)". The record is from RNAcentral. Lineage: Eukaryota; Viridiplantae; Streptophyta; Magnoliopsida; Poales; Bromeliaceae.
GAUGUAGCUCUAAAUAAAAUAUAGGAAAAACUUCAAAUACCACCCCUGUGGUUUCACACUUUCUCACUUUAGUACCUUGUCGUUUAAAGUGUAUCAAUUUAGUGCCCUGUAGUUUCAUUUUUAUUUUUUUUUAUUAUCGAUUCUACUAAAUUUUUUCGUUAAAUCAGUGACAAAGUUAAAACUAAAGGUUACUAAAGUGAAUAUUCGAUAAAUCUAGGUGGGGUGUCUAAAGUUUUUUUUGUAUAUAAUUUUAACGAAAUAUUAACGAAAAAACUGACGAAAAGAUAAAAAUAAAAUCACAAGAUACUAACUUGAUACACUUUAAACCACCGAAUGUUAAAGUGAGAAAGUGCGAAACUAUAUAAGUGGUAUAUGAAGUUUACCCUAAAUUUUAUAACCUAAUUAAAUCUCCUCAAAGACAUAAAAAAUAAAGGAUACUAAAAAAAUAUAAGCAAUUCUCUGCCAUACAAACCCCAACCU